This 253-nucleotide ribosomal RNA is filed under the name uncultured bacterium. Its description in RNAcentral is "partial 16S ribosomal RNA". It matches the Rfam family "Bacterial small subunit ribosomal RNA", at positions 524 to 776 of the family's 1533-position model. The record is from RNAcentral.
UACGUAGGGACCAAGCGUUGUUCGGAUUUACUGGGCGUAAAGAGCGCGCAGGCGGUCGUUCAAGUCGCGUGUGAAAGCCCCCGGCUCAACUGGGGAGGGUCACGCGAUACUGAUCGACUCGAAGGCAGGAGAGGGAAGUGGAAUUCCCGGUGUAGUGGUGAAAUGCGUAGAUAUCGGGAGGAACACCAGUGGCGAAGGCGACUUCCUGGCCUGUUCUUGACGCUGAGGCGCGAAAGCUAGGGGAGCAAACGGG